Molecule: long non-coding RNA, 996 nt
Filed under: Nicotiana benthamiana
Lineage: Eukaryota; Viridiplantae; Streptophyta; Magnoliopsida; Solanales; Solanaceae
Description: long non-coding RNA (NBEN_LNC030557)
Source: RNAcentral
GUUUGAUUUUUACAUCUAAAUGUAUAAAAUUAUCUUUAUUAAAAAAUUAAUAAGCAUAAAAUUCAAAUGAAAUACUAGCUAAUUUAAUAUUCUAUCAAUAAAAUAUAUAGUUUUUUAAAAUAUGAUAGUUGGUGGUGACGGUUAACGGGUAAAUGCCGACUAGAGACAGUGGUUGGUGGUAGUUUUGGCUGAUGAUGGUGGUUCAUGCUACUAGCUAAUAAUGAUUGAUAGUGGUGACGAUUGUGAUUGAGGAUAAUGGUGAUAGUUAAUACUUGCGGGUGAUGGUAGUAGUCGUGACUGAGGAAAGUGGUAGGUGGGUGGUGGUAGGUUAUAAUGAUGGGCAAUGCUGGUUGUGGUUGUUGAUAAUGAUGGGGUGGUCAAUUGUGGUAAUUGAGGUGGAUGAGUGUUGAUUGUGAGUGAGAAUGAUGGUGGUCGGAGUGCUAGGGAUAGUGUGUGGUGAUGGUCGAUAACGGUGGCGGCUAUGAUUGAGAAUGAUCGUGGCGUUAUGGUGUUGGAGGUAGUGGCGGUUUAGUAUGGUGGUGGUAGUGACAUGGAAGUAGUUGAUAAUGGUAGGCGAUGGCAGCAGUUAAUAAAGAAUAUGUGAUAGCAUCUAAAUAAAAUUAAGUCUUUGUUAAAGAUCUUAAUAAUACAAACCUAUUCAAACCCAUUACGUGUUGUGAAGUAAAAAAAAACAAACACAUUUAAUGAUUAAGAUCUGAAUAAUUAAGAUUCAGACUUUAAAAACAAACGCACUUAAUAUCUGAGAUCUGAAUGAUUAAGAUUCAGGCCUCCAUUAAGUGCAAUCAAAUGACGCGUUAAUGGAACAAGAAAAAUUAUGUUAUAUAAAUAACUUGUAUAACCCCAAUUUAAGUUACACUAAUAGUGUAAACAACUAUAGAUAUGAUUUUAAUCCUUAUUUCACAGGACAGCCAGCAAACGCGAAUUAAGUGUAGUCAUUUACUGUUUGAGAUCUGAAUGAUUAAGAUUUAAUGAGGC